GAACUGCAUCCAAAACUAACUCACUAGAGUACGAUAGAGGGAGGUAGAAUUCAUAGUGUAGCGGUGGAAUGCGUAGAUAUUAUGAAGAAUACCGGUGGCGAAGGCGGCCUCCUGGAUCUGUACUGACACUGAGGUGCGAAAGCGUGGGUAGCGAACAGGAUUAGAUACCCUGGUAGUCCACGCCGUAAACGAUGACAACUAGCUGUUGGGAGACAAUGUCUUUCAGUGGCGCAGCUAACGUUUUAAGUUGUCCGCCUGGGGAGUACGGCCGCAAGGCUAAAACUCAAAUGAAUUGACGGGGACCCGCACAAGCGGUGGAGCAUGUGGUUUAAUUCGAUGCAACGCGAAAAACCUUACCUACUCUUGACAUACUUGGAAGCUCUUGUAAUGAGAGUGUGCCUUUUGGAACUAAGAUACAGGUGCUGCAUGGCUGUCGUCAGCUCGUGUCGUGAGAUGUUCCGUUAAGUCGGAUAACGAGCGCAACCCUUACCCUUAUUUGCCAGCGAUUCGGUCGGGAACUAUAAGGGGACUGCCGGUGAUAAACCGGAGGAAGGUGAGGACGACGUCAAGUCAUCAUGGCCCUUACGAGUAGGGCUACACACGUGCUACAAUGGGGAAUACAGACGGACGCUAAGCCGCGAGGUGGUGCUAAUCCUAAAAAGUUCUUCGUAGUCCGGAUUGGAGUCUGCAACUCGACUCCAUGAAGUCGGAAUCGCUAGUAAUCGCGAAUCAGCAUGUCGCGGUGAAUACGUUCUCGGGUCUUGUACACACCGCCCGUCACACCAUGGAAGUGGAUUGCACCAGAAGUAGAUAGUCUAACCUUCGGGAGGGCGUUUACCACGGUGUGUUUCAUGACUGGGGUGAAGUCAUAACAAGGUAGCCGUA
This 885-nucleotide ribosomal RNA is filed under the name uncultured bacterium. RNAcentral describes it as "bacterial SSU rRNA". It matches the Rfam family "Bacterial small subunit ribosomal RNA", at positions 618 to 1504 of the family's 1533-position model. The record is from RNAcentral.